CAGUCGCCGCGGGAAUACGAAGGGGGCUAGCGUUGUUCGGAUUUACUGGGCGUAAAGCGCACGUAGGCGGAUCGAUCAGUCAGGGGUGAAAUCCCAGAACUCAACUCUGGAACUGCCUUUGAUACUGUCGAUCUGGAGUAUGGAAGAGGUGAGUGGAAUUCCGAGUGUAGAGGUGAAAUUCGUAGAUAUUCGGAGGAACACCAGUGGCGAAGGCGGCUCACUGGUCCAUUACUGACGCUGAGGUGCGAAAGCGUGGGGAGCAAACAGGAUUAGAUACCCCCGUAGUCCCUGUCUCUUAUAC
RNAcentral lists this ribosomal RNA (301 nucleotides) under uncultured bacterium. Its description in RNAcentral is "partial 16S ribosomal RNA". It matches the Rfam family "Bacterial small subunit ribosomal RNA", at positions 509 to 807 of the family's 1533-position model. The record is from RNAcentral.